UACGAAUGGGGCAAGCGUUGUUCGGAAUCACUGGGCUUAAAGCGUGCGUAGGCGGAUUUGCAAGUCAGGAGUGAAAUCCCAGGGCUCAACCCUGGAAUUGCUUUUGAAACUGCAAAUCUAGAAGAUUGAAGAGGUUAGCAGAAUUCCGAGUGUAGAGGUGAAAUUCGCAGAUAUUCGGAGGAAUACCAAUGGCGCAGGCAGCUAACUGGGCAAUUUUUGACGCUGAGGCACGAAAGCGUGGGGAGCAAACAGG
RNAcentral lists this ribosomal RNA (253 nucleotides) under uncultured bacterium. RNAcentral describes it as "partial 16S ribosomal RNA". It matches the Rfam family "Bacterial small subunit ribosomal RNA", at positions 524 to 776 of the family's 1533-position model. The record is from RNAcentral.